This 184-nucleotide ribosomal RNA is filed under the name uncultured bacterium. RNAcentral's name for it is "partial 16S ribosomal RNA". It matches the Rfam family "Bacterial small subunit ribosomal RNA", at positions 318 to 505 of the family's 1533-position model. The record is from RNAcentral.
GCGGGGGCACGGGGGGCCUACGGGAGGCAGCAGUGGGGAAUUUUGGACAAUGGGCGCAAGCCUGAUCCAGCCAUGCCGCGUGCAGGAUGAAGGCCUUCGGGUUGUAAACUGCUUUUGUACGGAACGAAACGGCCUUUUCUAAUAAAGAGGGCUAAUGAGCGUACGUAAGAURCGAUUCAAUUCA